GUUUCUUUAGUAUACUUUGUACAACUUAUUGCAAAUAAGAAAGUUUUGAAACU
Molecule: transfer RNA, 53 nt
Filed under: Amphiascoides atopus
Lineage: Eukaryota; Metazoa; Arthropoda; Copepoda; Harpacticoida; Miraciidae
Description: tRNA-Cys
Source: RNAcentral